This 336-nucleotide unclassified non-coding RNA is filed under the name soil metagenome. RNAcentral's name for it is "partial contains 5.8S ribosomal RNA, internal transcribed spacer 2, and large subunit ribosomal RNA". The stretch from base 1 to 120 matches the Rfam family "5.8S ribosomal RNA", at positions 35 to 154 of the family's 154-position model. The record is from RNAcentral.
GAUGAAGAACGCAGUGAAAUGCGAUAAGUAGUGUGAAUUGCAGAAUUCAGUGAAUCAUCGAAUCUUUGAACGCACAUUGCGCCCCUUGGUAUUCCAUGGGGCAUGUCUGUUCGAGCGUCAUUUGUACCUUCAAGCUUUGCUUGGUGUUGGGUGUUUGUCUCGCCUUUGCGUGUAGACUCGCCUUAAAAUAAUUGGCAGCCGGCGUAUUGAUUUCGGAGCGCAGUACAUCUCGCGCUUUGCACUCAUAACGACAGCGUCCAAAAGUACAUUUUACACUCUUGACCUCGGUUCAGGUAGGGAUACCCGCUGAACUUAAGCAUAUCAAUAAGCGGAGGA